This 253-nucleotide ribosomal RNA is filed under the name uncultured bacterium. RNAcentral describes it as "partial 16S ribosomal RNA". It matches the Rfam family "Bacterial small subunit ribosomal RNA", at positions 524 to 776 of the family's 1533-position model. The record is from RNAcentral.
UACGUAGGGGGCAAGCGUUGUCCGGAUUUAUUGGGCGUAAAGGGUGCGUAGGCGGCGCGGUAAGUCGGGUGUGAAAUCUUGGAGCUUAACUCCGAAACUGCAUUCGAUACUGCCGUGCUUGAGGACUGGAGAGGAGACUGGAAUUUACGGUGUAGCGGUGAAAUGCGUAGAUAUCGUAAGGAAGACCAGUGGCGAAGGCGGGUCUCUGGACAGUUCCUGACGCUGAGGCACGAAGGCCAGGGGAGCAAACGGG